Long non-coding RNA from Dermochelys coriacea (leatherback sea turtle), 761 nucleotides. RefSeq lists it as uncharacterized. The record is from RefSeq and is a predicted model, not a curated record. Lineage: Eukaryota; Metazoa; Chordata; Testudines; Dermochelyidae. The transcript is spliced from 3 exons.
UGAUGCAAAAUACAGUGUGGGAUUUUCACAUACUUUACUCCUGGGGGAAUUCUGCACCACUGCACUUGUGCAGCAAUGCGUCCCACGCAUCCCUCCCCCACAGAUUCACUUUGCUUCCUGUAGAAAAAUGGUUUCUGUGGGGAAGCAAAGAGAAGCUGCAUCAGUGCUCACUCACCCCGCCCCAGCAGUAUGGGUGCAUCUGUUCUGGCAGGUGGGGAAGAGGGUGGGGAAAAUCCAAUGGAAAGUGGAACAAGGAACUGGGGUGGGUGAAAACCCAGCUUCUGAAGACCAGGAAAGAGUGAGGCAGAACCUGUAGGGGUGCUGACAAACAACUCCCAAAGGUUGGGACGACUGAAAUAAGCUAAGUCUACAGGUUUGUACAACAGAUUGUGGAUGCUAACAGAAAAAGCUACAUGAAUAAUACAGCGUGGACAAAGUCCACAGGCUAUGCAUACAGAUACUGGAAGCUUUGGAUCAGUUAUGAGAAGGUAAAAGUACAAGAAAAGUUUGGUCCAGCAGAUUGAGGAGGAGGGCAGAGCACCAGAAACUCCCAAAAUCUGUUUCCAGUAUGUUGGUUUAACAUUUUGCAUUCUACAGUACUGUAGGCUACUGGCCUGUCUCCCCAGCUCAGGAACAAAUUGACACCACACACCAGCCCUUUGCCUCAGGGCUUCUGCUUUAUUUCUUUCAAACACUAUAAAUUCAGCACUUCAAUUGUCCCUUCCCCAGUAACCUGAGGUCUUUUGCAGUUGCAUCUAUUC